RNAcentral lists this ribosomal RNA (253 nucleotides) under uncultured bacterium. RNAcentral describes it as "partial 16S ribosomal RNA". It matches the Rfam family "Bacterial small subunit ribosomal RNA", at positions 524 to 776 of the family's 1533-position model. The record is from RNAcentral.
UACGUAUGGUGCAAGCGUUAUCCGGAUUUACUGGGUGUAAAGGGAGCGCAGGCGGCGCGUUAAGCCCGGUGUGAAAGCCCGCGGCCCAACCGCGGGACUGCAUUGGGAACUGGCGCGCUGGAGUGCCGGAGGGGUAGGCGGAAUUCCUAGUGUAGCGGUGAAAUGCGUAGAUAUUAGGAGGAACACCAGUGGCGAAGGCGGCCUACUGGACGGUGACUGACGCUGAGGCUCGAAAGCGUGGGGAGCAAACAGG